This 472-nucleotide ribosomal RNA is filed under the name uncultured organism. RNAcentral describes it as "partial 16S ribosomal RNA". It matches the Rfam family "Bacterial small subunit ribosomal RNA", at positions 332 to 796 of the family's 1533-position model. The record is from RNAcentral.
UACACUCCUACGGGAGGCAGCAGUGGGGAAUUUUGGACAAUGGGCGAAAGCCUGAUCCAGCCAUGCCGCGUGCAGGAUGAAGGCCUUCGGGUUGUAAACUGCUUUUGUACGGAACGAAACGGCCUUUUCUAAUAAAGAGGGCUAAUGACGGUACCGUAAGAAUAAGCACCGGCUAACUACGUGCCAGCAGCCGCGGUAAUACGUAGGGUGCAAGCGUUAAUCGGAAUUACUGGGCGUAAAGCGUGCGCAGGCGGUUAUGUAAGACAGUUGUGAAAUCCCCGGGCUCAACCUGGGAACUGCAUCUGUGACUGCAUAGCUAGAGUACGGUAGAGGGGGAUGGAAUUCCGCGUGUAGCAGUGAAAUGCGUAGAUAUGCGGAGGAACACCGAUGGCGAAGGCAAUCCCCUGGACCUGUACUGACGCUCAUGCACGAAAGCGUGGGGAGCAAACAGGAUUAGAUACCCGAGUAGUCC